UCAUUUUCAUGCUUCGAAAUGCGUCAACAAUUCCCUACGCCAAUUAAUUCAUAAUACAACACGAAAAUGGAACGUUUUGAUGGAGAUUCUUACAUGUCGGCAGUGACAACAACCAAGUGAUAAGAGAAUGCUGGAUAGUGCUGCCUUUCUGCUCUUGUUCGAUGUCAAAGAAACACCAAUUAAGUAGCCUUUAUGGUCCAUCCGCCACCGUUGACUUGUAACCUUCUGUUACCCGGCUUGUUAUGGGA
Molecule: long non-coding RNA, 248 nt
Organism: Haliotis rubra (blacklip abalone)
Lineage: Eukaryota; Metazoa; Mollusca; Gastropoda; Lepetellida; Haliotidae
Exons: 3
Source: RefSeq, a predicted model, not a curated record